GGACACACCCCUGGAGAGACUACUUGUGUAGCAUCAAAGGAGCAACUUAACGGGAUGCGUUAGGGAAACUUUCAGAUAAAAGGACAGGGCGUAAAAU
Molecule: non-coding RNA, 97 nt
Filed under: Thermotalea metallivorans
Lineage: Bacteria; Bacillati; Bacillota; Clostridia; Peptostreptococcales; Thermotaleaceae
Description: Glycine sequence
Rfam family: Glycine riboswitch aptamer
About the family: This family represents the bacterial glycine riboswitch. Glycine riboswitches usually consist of two metabolite-binding aptamers domains with similar structures in tandem.
Source: Rfam by way of RNAcentral